RNAcentral lists this long non-coding RNA (318 nucleotides) under Homo sapiens (human). RNAcentral describes it as "long independently transcribed non-coding RNA 1809 (LINC01809)". Lineage: Eukaryota; Metazoa; Chordata; Mammalia; Primates; Hominidae. The record is from RNAcentral.
GAUUUCUGAGACAGAAUGAUCAGGGUCAGAGAUGACAUUUAGGAUGACAAGUUUAAGGGUAAUUGGUUGUUACAAGAGACAAGAAAGAGCAAUAGUGAAAAUAAACACAGGCACAAAGCAGAAGCAUUUUCUUCCACUUCAACAGAGCUCCUAUGCCUAAACAGGGCAGGGGAAUUGUGGAUGUCACAGUGCCGGUAACAGUAAAGCCAAGUGACAUGAGUCUGUCUAUGUAACAAACCUGCACAUGUACUCCUGAAUCUAAAAUAAAAAUUUAAAAAAUAAAAAAAAAAAAAAAAAAAAAAAAAAAAAAAAAAAAAA